This 441-nucleotide long non-coding RNA is filed under the name Phaseolus vulgaris (common bean). Its description in RNAcentral is "long non-coding RNA (PVUL_LNC001338)". Lineage: Eukaryota; Viridiplantae; Streptophyta; Magnoliopsida; Fabales; Fabaceae. The record is from RNAcentral.
UGUUUUUGAGAAGGUGUCAACUUUCGUUGUUACAGAAGAGAAAGCAGAGAAAGAUGGAACUGCAGAAACUAAAGCAGAAGAAACAAGUAGUGGUACUGUCCAAGAGAGAGAGAUAGUGGUUGAAGAGGAGAAAAAGGUGGAAGAAGAGCCAUCUGAGGCUGCUGCAAAAGAGGAAGAGAAACCUGGUGAACCAUCUGAGCCUGCUGCAAAAGAGGAAGAGAAACCUGCUGAAGCUGAGAAAGGAGAACCACCAAAACCUUGAUGUAGCUGCUUCUUGAAGAUGAUGCAGCAGAUAUACGUGUACUCUUAGUUUGCAUAUACUCAAAAUUGUCACAUAUCAUUUCCUUAUUCUUUUAUUCCUGUGUAAAAUCGGUUUUGUGCUGCUUAGUUUGAUAUUGUUGUUGCAGAUUUGGUGAUUAAUAUAUGUGAAUGUUUUAUGGU